GGUUAGGGGUCAGGGGUUAGAGGAUAGGGGUUAGAGGUCAGGGGUUAGAGGUUAAGGGUUAGGGGUUAGGGGUUAGAGCCUGGGUUUAGGGGUUAGAGGUUAGAGGUUAGGGGAUAGGGGUUAGGGGUUAGAGGUUAGGGGUUAGAGGUUAUGGGAAUAGGGGUUAGGGGUUAGGGAAUAGGGGUUAGGGGUUAGAGGUUAGGGAAUAGGGGUUAGAGGUUAGGGGUUAGAGGUUAGGGGAUAGGGGUUAGAGGUUAUGGGAAUAGGGGUUAGGGGUUAGGGAAUAGGGGUUAGAGGUUAGAGGUUAGGGAAUAGGGGUUAGAGGUUAGGGAAUAGGGGUUAGAGGUUAGGGGUUAGGGGUCAGAGGAUAGCGGUUAGAGUCAGGCAGUAACAGGUGAUAGCAGCAGCAGCUAGAGAGUAGUCAAGGCCCGUGAUGCUGCAAAGCGUUUCAAUGAGACUCCGUCAUCGCCAACCAAUCAGGUCCUCAGCCUGCUGCGUCUGUCUGCGUGGGGGGAGGGGCCAAAGACUGUC
Molecule: long non-coding RNA, 531 nt
Filed under: Salmo salar (Atlantic salmon)
Lineage: Eukaryota; Metazoa; Chordata; Actinopteri; Salmoniformes; Salmonidae
Description: lncRNA (ENSSSAG00000087030.1)
Source: RNAcentral